RNAcentral lists this ribosomal RNA (464 nucleotides) under uncultured bacterium. RNAcentral describes it as "partial 16S ribosomal RNA". It matches the Rfam family "Bacterial small subunit ribosomal RNA", at positions 28 to 507 of the family's 1533-position model. The record is from RNAcentral.
GACGAACGCUGGCGGCGUGCCUAACACAUGCAAGUCGAGCGAAUGCAGUUCAUUCGGGUGUGGAUUUAGCGGCCGACGGGUGAGUAACACGUGGGCACCCUGCCUCCUAGAGGUGAAUAGCCUUCCGAAAGGGGGAAUAAUACCGCAUAAGAUUGUAGUAUCGCAUGAUACAGCAAUUAAAGGAGCAAUCCGCGAUGAGAUGGGCAGGCGGCGCAUUAGUUGGUUGGUGAGGUGACGGCUCACCAAGGCGACGAUGCGUAGCCGAGCUGAGAGGCGGAUCGGCCACAUUGGGAGGGAGACACGGCCCAGACUACUACGGGAGGGAGCAGAGGGGAAUAUUGCACAAUCGGGGAAACCCUGAUGCAGCAACGCCGCGUGAGUGAUGACGGCCUGCGGGUUGUAAAGCACUGUCUUCAGGGACGAUAAUGACGGUACCUAAAGAGGAAGCAACGGCUAACUACGUG